GGAGCCAAUAAAGUUCCAUCGAU
RNAcentral lists this non-coding RNA (23 nucleotides) under Arabidopsis thaliana (thale cress). Lineage: Eukaryota; Viridiplantae; Streptophyta; Magnoliopsida; Brassicales; Brassicaceae. The record is from RNAcentral.